AUUGCUUGGACACUCUGGAUGUUUCAAAAUUACUUGCUCUAAACAUUCAGUCCAUCUCUUGAGUCAAAAGUAAUUAACAGUUCAAUGAACAUGCCAAGUGGGGUUUUAUACUAAAAACCCAAGGAGUUUAGAGAAAACACAUCCUUAUAGAAAAUGCAAAACAGACAGAGGACUGUCAAGCCCAGGAGCCUUCUUUGAGCUUUAAGCUCAGCAAACCCAUGUCAAGGACUGAGAUUAAACAGUCUAACUUUUGCUGAUAUGAAAAGGGAUGCUGACAUGGUGAGCUGAUCUGUAUUUUGAAUGGAUGGAAAGAAAUGG
Molecule: long non-coding RNA, 318 nt
Filed under: Zonotrichia albicollis (white-throated sparrow)
Lineage: Eukaryota; Metazoa; Chordata; Aves; Passeriformes; Passerellidae
Description: lncRNA (ENSZALG00000013627.1)
Source: RNAcentral